RNAcentral lists this ribosomal RNA (460 nucleotides) under uncultured bacterium. RNAcentral's name for it is "partial 16S ribosomal RNA". It matches the Rfam family "Bacterial small subunit ribosomal RNA", at positions 338 to 795 of the family's 1533-position model. The record is from RNAcentral.
CCUACGGGGAGCAGCAGUGAGGAAUAUUGGUCAAUGGACGAUAGUCUGAACCAGCCAAGUAGCGUGAAGGAUGACUGCCCUAUGGGUUGUAAACUUCUUUUAUAUGGGAAUAAAAUGUUCCACGUGUGGGAUUUUGUAUGUACCAUAUGAAUAAGGAUCGGCUAACUCCGUGCCAGCAGCCGCGGUAAUACGGAGGAUCCGAGCGUUAUCCGGAUUUAUUGGGUUUAAAGGGAGCGUAGGUGGAUUGUUAAGUCAGUUGUGAAAGUUUGCGGCUCAACCGUAAAAUUGCAGUUGAAACUGGCAGUCUUGAGUACAGUAGAGGUGGGCGGAAUUCGUGGUGUAGCGGUGAAAUGCUUAGAUAUCACGAAGAACUCCGAUUGCGAAGGCAGUUCACUGGACUGCAACUGACACUGAGGCUCGAAAGUGUGGGUAUCAAACAGGAUUAGAUACCCGAGUAGUC